This is a non-coding RNA of Arachis ipaensis, 1468 nucleotides long. Lineage: Eukaryota; Viridiplantae; Streptophyta; Magnoliopsida; Fabales; Fabaceae. The record is from RefSeq and is a predicted model, not a curated record.
AAAUUUUGUUACUGAUGAUAAAGCUAACCAAGGCAAGCUUGUCUCUACUUAAAUCCUCCUGCAUAUAUACGAUAGAAUAAUAUUUGGUUUGGAUAGUAACCAAAUUUCAAAUAAGUCCAUAUAGUUAAAAAAUUUGUAAUCGUGUGGUUUUAUUUUGUUAUGUGUGGAGGAAUGCAUUGUUAUUGAAUUGAGAAUACAGCAUGGAACAAAGCAGAUUGGUUUCAUGGCUGUUAUGAUCACUUCUUCUGUUGAUGAUGGAGAUUUCUGCUGCUGUUCUUUCUCCUUCUAGCAUAAACUAUGAAGGUUAACCUUUUCUUUAAUUUUCUUCCCCACUUCCCUUUUUCAUUUUGAUCUUUGGUCAAGUUAAUUAUGCUGGAAAUUACUAGGAAUGAUAGCUGAAAGAUUGAUGAUGAUGCUAUUCUGUGACUUGUUAUUUCCUUUUCUUUUUUGCCUUGAGAAUCUUAUCUCUUAAGUACUUCCUAAUUACCUGUUACAUAGUGGCAUAUUCACUCAAAGUAGAUGCAGUUACAGUGAUGCUUAAUUGGUACAGGUUGCUUCAGAACAAUGCAAUUUCCGGUCAGAUUCCUACAGCAAUUGGAAGCCUAGAAAAGCUUCAGACACUUGAUCUCUCCAAUAACGAUUUUAGUGGCGAGAUACCAAAUUCUUUGGGAGGCCUCUCAAGAACCUGAAUUAUUUAAACUGAGAAGCAGAUCUUUGAUGCUAUCUUGGAAGGGAAAUUAGAUCUAGAAAGCGCACCAUGGCCUUCUAUUUCAGCUGCUGCAAAAGAUUUGAUCAGGAAAAUGUUAGCCUAUGAACCUAAGAAACGCAUCACAGCUUCUGCUACCCUUGAACACCCUUGGAUGAAGGAAGUGGGGGAAACAUCUGACAAGCCUAUAGACAAUGCGGUUUUAAGUAGGAUGAAACAAUUCAGAGCAAUGAACAAGACGAAGAAACUUGCUUUAAAGGUGAUAGCAUAAAAUCUUUCAGAGGAAGAAAUCAGGGCCUAGAACAAAUGUUCAACAAUAUGGAUACGAAUCGCAUCGGCACAAUCACUUUCGAAGAACUGAAAUCUGGUUUGUCCAGAUUGGGGCCAUUGACUAUUAUGAAUUCAUUACUGCCAUCAUGCAUCGGCAUAAACUUGAGAAGGAAGAAGUAUUUGAUUUUGCAGACAUUUAAUGGGAAGAAGUGAGAGAAGUUUAAUAGUGAAAAAGUUGCUUCCCUGGCAUAUGCACGAAUCGAAGGAAAGGCUACACUGGUGAACCACUUCCAUAAUUCAAUUUCUGCACGCUGCCAAUGAGCUGUGGAACUUUGAAAACAGAAUCUUCUUUUGUUUUUGAUGUAGUAUAGUUGAACAAUACAGUAAGUUUAUAUUUUGAAUCAUAGUUGAUGUAUCAAUACACUUUGUUGAUGUAUGGUUGUUAUUUAUUAUUAUAGUUGAUGUAUCAAUAUACUUUGUUUAUGUUUUGAA